Molecule: ribosomal RNA, 1257 nt
Filed under: Escherichia coli
Lineage: Bacteria; Pseudomonadati; Pseudomonadota; Gammaproteobacteria; Enterobacterales; Enterobacteriaceae
Description: partial 23S ribosomal RNA
Rfam family: Bacterial large subunit ribosomal RNA
Source: RNAcentral
ACACGGCGGGUGCUAACGUCCGUCGUGAAGAGGGAAACAACCCAGACCGCCAGCUAAGGUCCCAAAGUCAUGGUUAAGUGGGAAACGAUGUGGGAAGGCCCAGACAGCCAGGAUGUUGGCUUAGAAGCAGCCAUCAUUUAAAGAAAGCGUAAUAGCUCACUGGUCGAGUCGGCCUGCGCGGAAGAUGUAACGGGGCUAAACCAUGCACCGAAGCUGCGGCAGCGACGCUUAUGCGUUGUUGGGUAGGGGAGCGUUCUGUAAGCCUGUGAAGGUGUGCUGUGAGGCAUGCUGGAGGUAUCAGAAGUGCGAAUGCUGACAUAAGUAACGAUAAAGCGGGUGAAAAGCCCGCUCGCCGGAAGACCAAGGGUUCCUGUCCAACGUUAAUCGGGGCAGGGUGAGUCGACCCCUAAGGCGAGGCCGAAAGGCGUAGUCGAUGGGAAACAGGUUAAUAUUCCUGUACUUGGUGUUACUGCGAAGGGGGGACGGAGAAGGCUAUGUUGGCCGGGCGACGGUUGUCCCGGUUUAAGCGUGUAGGCUGGUUUUCCAGGCAAAUCCGGAAAAUCAAGGCUGAGGCGUGAUGACGAGGCACUACGGUGCUGAAGCAACAAAUGCCCUGCUUCCAGGAAAAGCCUCUAAGCAUCAGGUAACAUCAAAUCGUACCCCAAACCGACACAGGUGGUCAGGUAGAGAAUACCAAGGCGCUUGAGAGAACUCGGGUGAAGGAACUAGGCAAAAUGGUGCCGUAACUUCGGGAGAAGGCACGCUGAUAUGUAGGUGAAGUCCCUCGCGGAUGGAGCUGAAAUCAGUCGAAGAUACCAGCUGGCUGCAACUGUUUAUUAAAAACACAGCACUGUGCAAACACGAAAGUGGACGUAUACGGUGUGACGCCUGCCCGGUGCCGGAAGGUUAAUUGAUGGGGUCAGCGCAAGCGAAGCUCUUGAUCGAAGCCCCGGUAAACGGCGGCCGUAACUAUAACGGUCCUAAGGUAGCGAAAUUCCUUGUCGGGUAAGUUCCGACCUGCACGAAUGGCGUAAUGAUGGCCAGGCUGUCUCCACCCGAGACUCAGUGAAAUUGAACUCGCUGUGAAGAUGCAGUGUACCCGCGGCAAGACGGAAAGACCCCGUGAACCUUUACUAUAGCUUGACACUGAACAUUGAGCCUUGAUGUGUAGGAUAGGUGGGAGGCUUAGAAGUGUGGACGCCAGUCUGCAUGGAGCCGACCUUGAAAUACCACCCUUUAAUGUUUGAUGUUCUAACG